AACGCACAUUGCGCCCGCUAGUAUUCUGGCGGGCAUGCCUGUCCGAGCGUCAUUUCAACCAUCAAGUCCUAGGCUUGUGUUGGGGAUCUGCGGCUGCCGCAGCCCCCUAAAUUUAGUGGCGGGCUCGCUGUCGUACCGAGUGCAGUAAACAUUCUCACUUAGGGAACGUAGCAUGUUCCGGCCGUUAAACACCCCAUUAUUUAAGGUUGACCUCGGAUCAGGUAGGAAUACCCGCUGAACUUAA
Molecule: unclassified non-coding RNA, 244 nt
Filed under: uncultured fungus
Lineage: Eukaryota; Fungi
Description: partial contains 5.8S ribosomal RNA, internal transcribed spacer 2, and large subunit ribosomal RNA
Source: RNAcentral